This 438-nucleotide ribosomal RNA is filed under the name uncultured bacterium. RNAcentral's name for it is "bacterial SSU rRNA". It matches the Rfam family "Bacterial small subunit ribosomal RNA", at positions 352 to 782 of the family's 1533-position model. The record is from RNAcentral.
CAGUGGGGAAUUUUGGACAAUGGGGGCAACCCUGAUCCAGCAAUGCCGCGUGUGUGAAGAAGGCCUUCGGGUUGUAAAGCACUUUUGUCCGGAAAGAAAUCCUUCGAGAUAAUACCUUGAGGGGAUGACGGUACCGGAAGAAUAAGCACCGGCUAACUACGUGCCAGCAGCCGCGGUAAUACGUAGGGUGCAAGCGUUAAUCGGAAUUACUGGGCGUAAAGCGUGCGCAGGCGGUGAUGUAAGACCGAUGUGAAAUCCCCGGGCUUAACCUGGGAACUGCAUUGGUGACUGCAUCGCUGGAGUAUGGCAGAGGGGGGUAGAAUUCCACGUGUAGCAGUGAAAUGCGUAGAGAUGUGGAGGAAUACCGAUGGCGAAGGCAGCCCCCUGGGCCAAUACUGACGCUCAUGCACGAAAGCGUGGGGAGCAAACAGGAUUAGA